Molecule: ribosomal RNA, 264 nt
Filed under: uncultured bacterium
Lineage: Bacteria
Description: partial 16S ribosomal RNA
Rfam family: Bacterial small subunit ribosomal RNA
Source: RNAcentral
GCAAGUCGAGCGCGAAAGUGAACUUCGGUUCAUGAGUAGAGCGGCGCAAGGGUGAGUAACGAAUAAGCAACCUACCCCUGACACCGGUAUAGCGUCUGGAAACGGACGGUAAUCCCGGAUGGUCUCCUAGGAGCGAAUGCUCUCUGGAGUAAAGAUAGGGAUCUUCGGACCUUUCGGUCGGGGAGGGGCUUAUUUCCCAUCAGCUUGUUGGUGAGGUAACGGCUCACCAAGGCUUUGACGGGUAGCCGGACUGAGAGGUUGGCC